AGUGAACGCUGGCGGUAGGCCUAACACAUGCAAGUCGAACGGCAGCACAGUAAGAGCUUGCUCUUACGGGUGGCGAGUGGCGGACGGGUGAGGAAUACAUCGGAAUCUACUUUUUCGUGGGGGAUAACGUAGGGAAACUUACGCUAAUACCGCAUACGACCUACGGGUGAAAGCAGGGGAUCUUCGGACCUUGCGCGAUUGAAUGAGCCGAUGUCGGAUUAGCUAGUUGGCGGGGUAAGGGCCCACCAAGGCGACGAUCCGUAGCUGGUCUGAGGGGAUGAUCAGCCACACUGGAACUGAGACACGGUCCAGACUCUUACGGGAGGCAGCAGUGGGGAAUAUUGGACAAUGGGCGCAAGCCUGAUCCAGCCAUACCGCGUGGGUGAAGAAGGCCUUCGGGUUGUAAAGCCCUUUUGUUGGGAAAGAAAAGCAGCAGGUUAAUACCCCGCUGUUCUGACGGUACCCAAAGAAUAAGCACCGGCUAACUUCGUG
RNAcentral lists this ribosomal RNA (492 nucleotides) under uncultured bacterium. RNAcentral's name for it is "partial 16S ribosomal RNA". It matches the Rfam family "Bacterial small subunit ribosomal RNA", at positions 29 to 507 of the family's 1533-position model. The record is from RNAcentral.